CCCCUGCUGGCUCAGUUGGUAGAGCCUGUGACUCUUGAUCUCGAGGUUGUGAGUUCGAGCCCCACGUUGGGGG
RNAcentral lists this transfer RNA (73 nucleotides) under Felis catus (domestic cat). It matches the Rfam family "tRNA". From Rfam's summary of the family: Transfer RNA (tRNA) molecules are approximately 80 nucleotides in length. Their secondary structure includes four short double-helical elements and three loops (D, anti-codon, and T loops). Lineage: Eukaryota; Metazoa; Chordata; Mammalia; Carnivora; Felidae. The record is from Rfam by way of RNAcentral.